RNAcentral lists this ribosomal RNA (275 nucleotides) under uncultured bacterium. RNAcentral's name for it is "partial 16S ribosomal RNA". It matches the Rfam family "Bacterial small subunit ribosomal RNA", at positions 338 to 627 of the family's 1533-position model. The record is from RNAcentral.
CCUACGGGGGGCUGCAGUGGGGAAUUUUCCGCAAUGGGCGAAAGCCUGACGGAGCAACGCCGCGUGGGUGAUGAAGUUUUUCGGAACGUAAAGCCCUUUCAGCAGGGACGAAGCGAGUGACGGUACCUGCAGAAGAAGCAUCGGCUAACUACGUGCCAGCAGCCGCGGUAAUACGUAGGAUGCGAGCGUUGUCCGGAAUUAUUGGGCGUAAAGAGAACGUAGGUGGUUUCUUAAGUUCGGUCUUAAAGACCGGGGCUCAACCCCGGGAAUGGACU